GUGGGGAAUCUUAGACAAUGGGGGAAACCCUGAUCUAGCCAUGCCGCGUGAGCGAUGAAGGCCUUAGGGUUGUAAAGCUCUUUCAGCUGGGAAGAUAAUGACGGUACCAGCAGAAGAAGCCCCGGCUAACUCCGUGCCAGCAGCCGCGGUAAUACGGAGGGGGCUAGCGUUGUUCGGAAUUACUGGGCGUAAAGCGCACGUAGGCGGAUCAGAAAGUCAGAGGUGAAAUCCCAGGGCUCAACCUUGGCACUGCCUUUGAAACUCCUGGUCUUGAGGUCGAGAGAGGUGAGUGGAAUUCCGAGUGUAGAGGUGAAAUUCGUAGAUAUUCGGAAGAACACCAGUGGCGAAGGCGACUCACUGGCCCAAUACUGACGCUGAGGCGCGAAAGCGUGGGGAGCAAACAGGAUUAGAUACCCGUGUAGUCC
Molecule: ribosomal RNA, 425 nt
Filed under: uncultured bacterium
Lineage: Bacteria
Description: partial 16S ribosomal RNA
Rfam family: Bacterial small subunit ribosomal RNA
Source: RNAcentral